RNAcentral lists this ribosomal RNA (465 nucleotides) under Vreelandella stevensii. RNAcentral's name for it is "partial 16S ribosomal RNA". It matches the Rfam family "Bacterial small subunit ribosomal RNA", at positions 338 to 795 of the family's 1533-position model. The record is from RNAcentral. Lineage: Bacteria; Pseudomonadati; Pseudomonadota; Gammaproteobacteria; Oceanospirillales; Halomonadaceae.
CCUACGGGUGGCAGCGGUGGGGAAUAUUGGACAAUGGGGGCAACCCUGAUCCAGCCAUGCCGCGUGUGUGAAGAAGGCCCCCGGGUUGUAAAGCACUUUCAGUGAGGAAGAACGCCUGGUGGUUAAUACCCAUCAGGAAAGACAUCACUCACAGAAGAAGCACCGGCUAACUCCGUGCCAGCAGCCGCGGUAAUACGGAGGGUGCGAGCGUUAAUCGGAAUUACUGGGCGUAAAGCGCGCGUAGGUGGCUUGAUAAGCCGGUUGUGAAAGCCCCGGGCUCAACCUGGGAACGGCAUCCGGAACUGUCAAGCUAGAGUGCAGGAGAGGAAGGUAGAAUUCCCGGUGUAGCGGUGAAAUGCGUAGAGAUCGGGAGGAAUACCAGUGGCGAAGGCGGCCUUCUGGACUGACACUGACACUGAGGUGCGAAAGCGUGGGUAGCAAACAGGAUUAGAUACCCUUGUAGUC